Pundamilia nyererei is the source of this 244-nucleotide long non-coding RNA. RefSeq lists it as uncharacterized. The transcript is spliced from 3 exons. The record is from RefSeq and is a predicted model, not a curated record. NCBI's taxonomy places the organism in Eukaryota, Metazoa, Chordata, Actinopteri, Cichliformes, Cichlidae.
UGUCAUUUUGUCCAGGAAAAAUUAACUGAAUGGCAUCUCAGUGAGCUGAUUCACAGUUUUGAAGAGGAGGGUAUUGACAAAGAAGCUUUCCUAAGUCUCGAGUCAGGCAGAAUCAAUACUUUGAUUCCAAAAAUUGGACCAAGAGUAAAGUUUAAAAGGAGGCUCAGAGAAUACUUACAGGACUUGAAUAGAACACAUGAUGAUUCUGCUGACAUGAUGGAAACAAGCGCAGAGCAAGAGGACA